Non-coding RNA from Ictidomys tridecemlineatus (thirteen-lined ground squirrel), 579 nucleotides. Lineage: Eukaryota; Metazoa; Chordata; Mammalia; Rodentia; Sciuridae. The record is from RefSeq and is a predicted model, not a curated record.
GAGAUCACUCUUGGAAAGAAUACUAGAUUCUGCAGAAUGGAACAAAUACCUCCCUAUGGGGCCGUAGAGAGUAUUCAAUGAGAUCCAUUUCCAGAACAUACAUCCUGACACAAAGAAAACAUAUGAUAAGUGACAGCCAAGAAAAGUAGUAAUAACAGUCACCAGAAGAUAAAGAUCCCACUCUCAUGUCAUCACCUGCUAUUGGUCUGGAGUGUGCCAUGUAACCUGUCUGACCCUCAGGCUCCUCAGAGAUUUAAAAUGCUGCCAUACACAGAUGAGGAAUGUAAUAGUGGAAAAAGUUAUCCUAUGCCACAUUAUGGAGCUGCUUAUGCAAGAAAGUUAUGCUGCUUUCACCUUAAACACAAACAAGUACACACUAUAAGCUUUCUAGAAGAAUGCUUUUGUCUUGGUCUCCAAAAGAAUGGAGAAACUCUACAAUGACGCAGGUUGGCAUGGCCUUUCUUAGAAGAUUCCCUUCCCAAGUCACUAAAUAUGACUGAAGAAAAUAGAUACUUUUGCAUUGCCCACAUAACAAACACUUAAUGAGUAAUUGCUAAAAUAAAAUUGCGUUGUCAGCCA